RNAcentral lists this long non-coding RNA (1199 nucleotides) under Solanum tuberosum (potato). RNAcentral's name for it is "long non-coding RNA (STUB_LNC009161)". Lineage: Eukaryota; Viridiplantae; Streptophyta; Magnoliopsida; Solanales; Solanaceae. The record is from RNAcentral.
UCUUCUCGUUUCAGGAAGAACUCUCUCUUCCAUAAUGGCAUCACAAUCACAUAUUAUCCCAGUCACUAUUUCUCUCCAUUUCUCAUGAAAUAGGAGAAUAGCUGGAAGCUGACAGGGUCGAUACAUUGUUUAUAGUGGUGAGUUCGACAAUGCUCAAGGUUUUUACAUGUUUAAUAAGCUAACACCACUCAAGGUUUAAAGAUCAGAGGAAGUGGGGAUGGAUAGUCAGAGAGCGAGAAAUUGAAUAGGACGUUCGCCUGCACUAUGAUAAAUUUUUCUGACAACUUAUUACCUUACGCUGUCAAUAUUUGAUUAUUUUCUACAAAGUAAUAUGCAUCUUUAACUUUUAAAAAUUCAGUAUUUCCAUCUGUAUCAUUGACCAUACGGCUAAAAGGCAAUAUUCUCAUUCUAUAAUUAGUCUGGUCCAGAUUCAGUUGGGAUUUUUGUCAUCUCACAUAGUUACAGUGGAGUGGUAGCCCGAGCAUGUGGUCUUGCUAGUUUAGAACCAACAAAGGUAAACAUUUGUUAAUUUAGAAAUAUUACUGUUGCUCCGUUGCUAGUUUUGGUCCUUUUAUGAUUAAUGUAGAUGUUGUUACUUUUUUCUAACUAAAAUAUUUUACAGAUUGCUGAGAUCCUCAAAGAUCGAACUGCUUGGUUUCAGGACUGCUGAAACGUCUAAGUUUUCACAAUGUUUUUUGUAGGAAAUGGUGGUACAAUUGAGCUUUUAUAUACACAAGUGAGUACCUUCUCUUUAAUCUUUAUGUAGGCUUUUGAUUGGAUUAGCUUCAGUACUAAGGGGAUCAAUUAAAUCAUUUAUUUCGGAUAUAUGCUCCUACCACUCUGCCUCCUGCAUAUGAUUUUCGGACGCUCAGAUACACAGCCACCCUAGACAAUGGUAGCAUUGUGGUAAACAAUCCUUCACAUUAGUGUGAGCGACCUGGGCACUUUUAUACUUAGUUCUGAUAUUCCACAUUUAACUAGUCUUUAAACAUCUCAAUCCUUGGAUUGAAUAGGAGUCUAGAAUGUAAUAUGUUUGGGUCAUAUUUAACUAAAUGCUGCAUUAUAAUUUCCAUAUACACCUUUAAGGAUCUCGCUACUUCAGUAUGACACUUUGCUCUAUUGUUUGUGAUUCUUAGUAGUGAAUUCUAUUAGUUGUGCCAUCUCAUAUAUGUUGCUGAUAUUUUCUUUUAAUAAAUAAG